AACGAACGCUGGCGGCAGGCUUAACACAUGCAAGUCGAGCGCAUCCUUCGGGGUGAGCGGCGGACGGGUGAGUAACGCGUGGGAACGUGCCCUCUUCUACGGAAUAGCCUCGGGAAACUGAGAGUAAUGCCGUAUACGCCCGCAAGGGGAAAGAUUUAUCGGAGGAGGAUCGGCCCGCGUUGGAUUAGGUAGUUGGUGGGGUAACGGCCUACCAAGCCGACGAUCCAUAGCUGGUUUGAGAGGAUGAUCAGCCACACUGGGACUGAGACCCGGCCCAGACUCCUACGGGAGGCAGCAGUGGGGACUCUUGGACAAUGGGCGCAACCCUGAUCCAGCCAUGCCGCGUGAUCGAUGAAGGCCUUAGGGUUGUAAAGAUCUUUCAGCUGGGAAGAUAAUGACGGUACCAGCAGAAGAAGCCCCGGCUAACUCCGUG
Molecule: ribosomal RNA, 433 nt
Filed under: uncultured bacterium
Lineage: Bacteria
Description: partial 16S ribosomal RNA
Rfam family: Bacterial small subunit ribosomal RNA
Source: RNAcentral